RNAcentral lists this ribosomal RNA (253 nucleotides) under uncultured bacterium. RNAcentral's name for it is "partial 16S ribosomal RNA". It matches the Rfam family "Bacterial small subunit ribosomal RNA", at positions 524 to 776 of the family's 1533-position model. The record is from RNAcentral.
UACAGAGGGGGCAAGCGUUGUUCGGAAUUACUGGGCGUAAAGGGCGCGUAGGCGGCCUUCUAAGUCGAACGUGAAAUCCCCGGGCUCAACCCGGGAACUGCGUCCGAUACUGGAAGGCUUGAAUCCGGGAGAGGGAUGUGGAAUUCCAGGUGUAGCGGUGAAAUGCGUAGAUAUCAGGAGGAACACCAAUGGCGAAGGCAGCACUCUGGGACGUGACUGACGCUGAGACGCGAAAGCGUGGGGAGCAAACAGG